Molecule: ribosomal RNA, 1282 nt
Filed under: Escherichia coli
Lineage: Bacteria; Pseudomonadati; Pseudomonadota; Gammaproteobacteria; Enterobacterales; Enterobacteriaceae
Description: partial 23S ribosomal RNA
Rfam family: Bacterial large subunit ribosomal RNA
Source: RNAcentral
ACACAGGUGGUCAGGUAGAGAAUACCAAGGCGCUUGAGAGAACUCGGGUGAAGGAACUAGGCAAAAUGGUGCCGUAACUUCGGGAGAAGGCACGCUGAUAUGUAGGUGAAGUCCCUCGCGGAUGGAGCUGAAAUCAGUCGAAGAUACCAGCUGGCUGCAACUGUUUAUUAAAAACACAGCACUGUGCAAACACGAAAGUGGACGUAUACGGUGUGACGCCUGCCCGGUGCCGGAAGGUUAAUUGAUGGGGUCAGCGCAAGCGAAGCUCUUGAUCGAAGCCCCGGUAAACGGCGGCCGUAACUAUAACGGUCCUAAGGUAGCGAAAUUCCUUGUCGGGUAAGUUCCGACCUGCACGAAUGGCGUAAUGAUGGCCAGGCUGUCUCCACCCGAGACUCAGUGAAAUUGAACUCGCUGUGAAGAUGCAGUGUACCCGCGGCAAGACGGAAAGACCCCGUGAACCUUUACUAUAGCUUGACACUGAACAUUGAGCCUUGAUGUGUAGGAUAGGUGGGAGGCUUAGAAGUGUGGACGCCAGUCUGCAUGGAGCCGACCUUGAAAUACCACCCUUUAAUGUUUGAUGUUCUAACGUGGACCCGUGAUCCGGGUUGCGGACAGUGUCUGGUGGGUAGUUUGACUGGGGCGGUCUCCUCCUAAAGAGUAACGGAGGAGCACGAAGGUUGGCUAAUCCUGGUCGGACAUCAGGAGGUUAGUGCAAUGGCAUAAGCCAGCUUGACUGCGAGCGUGACGGCGCGAGCAGGUGCGAAAGCAGGUCAUAGUGAUCCGGUGGUUCUGAAUGGAAGGGCCAUCGCUCAACGGAUAAAAGGUACUCCGGGGAUAACAGGCUGAUACCGCCCAAGAGUUCAUAUCGACGGCGGUGUUUGGCACCUCGAUGUCGGCUCAUCACAUCCUGGGGCUGAAGUAGGUCCCAAGGGUAUGGCUGUUCGCCAUUUAAAGUGGUACGCGAGCUGGGUUUAGAACGUCGUGAGACAGUUCGGUCCCUAUCUGCCGUGGGCGCUGGAGAACUGAGGGGGGCUGCUCCUAGUACGAGAGGACCGGAGUGGACGCAUCACUGGUGUUCGGGUUGUCAUGCCAAUGGCACUGCCCGGUAGCUAAAUGCGGAAGAGAUAAGUGCUGAAAGCAUCUAAGCACGAAACUUGCCCCGAGAUGAGUUCUCCCUGACCCUUUAAGGGUCCUGAAGGAACGUUGAAGACGACGACGUUGAUAGGCCGGGUGUGUAAGCGCAGCGAUGCGUUGAGCUAACCGGUACUAAUGAACCGUGAGG